Molecule: ribosomal RNA, 497 nt
Filed under: uncultured bacterium
Lineage: Bacteria
Description: partial 16S ribosomal RNA
Rfam family: Bacterial small subunit ribosomal RNA
Source: RNAcentral
GAUGAACGCUGGCGGCGUGCCUAAUACAUGCAAGUCGAGCGAACGGACGAGAAGCUUGCUUCUCUGAUGUUAGCGGCGGACGGGUGAGUAACACGUGGAUAACCUACCUAUAAGACUGGGAUAACUUCGGGAAACCGUAGCUAAUACCGGAUAAUAUUUUGAACCGCAUGGUUCAAAAGUGAAAGACGGUCUUGCUGUCACUUAUAGAUGGAUCCGCGCUGCAUUAGCUAGUUGGUAAGGUAACGGCUUACCAAGGCAAGGAUGCAUAGCCGACCUGAGAGGGUGAGCGGCCACACUGGAAGUGAGACACGGUCCAGACGCCUACGGGAGGGAGCAGUAGGGAUUCUGGCGCAAAGGGCGAAAGCCUGACGGAGCAACGCCGCGUGAGUGAUGAAGGUCUUCGGAUCGGAAAACUCUGUUAUUAGGGAAGAACAUAUGUGUAAGUAACUGUGCACAUCUUGACGGUACCUAAUCAGAAAGCCACGGCUAACUACGUG